CAACAAUUGCAUUGUCCUUAGGUUUGAGUUUGCCAGUUGGUGGCACAAAGGAAAGACAAGAUGAUGAACUGCAGAGGAGAAUGAUUAGAGAUGUGUCUCCCAAUGAUAUCUCCAUGAAGAGGGCCUAUGCACUUCUCCAGCCAAUGGAGUCCAAGUUGAUCCAAGCUGCUAAAGAAGCACAACUGGAAACCAAGUGGAAGCUGAGGCAGCUAUUCAGAAACUUGCAGAUGUUAAAUUGCCCCUGAACGGACCCGAACAGCUCAAAACCUGCCUGACGCUGGGCGACCAGCCCGCCAAGCAGACGUCUGCCGACCUGACGCUGGGCGACCAGCCCGCCAACCUGACGUCGGCCAACCUGACGUCGGCCAACCUGACGCUGGGCGACCAGCCCGCCAACCUGACGCUGGGCGACCAGCCCGCCAACCAGACG
Etheostoma cragini (Arkansas darter) is the source of this 430-nucleotide long non-coding RNA. RefSeq lists it as uncharacterized. Lineage: Eukaryota; Metazoa; Chordata; Actinopteri; Perciformes; Percidae. The transcript has 3 exons. The record is from RefSeq and is a predicted model, not a curated record.